Molecule: ribosomal RNA, 1221 nt
Filed under: Escherichia coli
Lineage: Bacteria; Pseudomonadati; Pseudomonadota; Gammaproteobacteria; Enterobacterales; Enterobacteriaceae
Description: partial 23S ribosomal RNA
Rfam family: Bacterial large subunit ribosomal RNA
Source: RNAcentral
GGGUUGUGAGGUUAAGCGACUAAGCGUACACGGUGGAUGCCCUGGCAGUCAGAGGCGAUGAAGGACGUGCUAAUCUGCGAUAAGCGUCGGUAAGGUGAUAUGAACCGUUAUAACCGGCGAUUUCCGAAUGGGGAAACCCAGUGUGAUUCGUCACACUAUCAUUAACUGAAUCCAUAGGUUAAUGAGGCGAACCGGGGGAACUGAAACAUCUAAGUACCCCGAGGAAAAGAAAUCAACCGAGAUUCCCCCAGUAGCGGCGAGCGAACGGGGAGCAGCCCAGAGCCUGAAUCAGUGUGUGUGUUAGUGGAAGCGUCUGGAAAGGCGCGCGAUACAGGGUGACAGCCCCGUACACAAAAAUGCACAUGCUGUGAGCUCGAUGAGUAGGGCGGGACACGUGGUAUCCUGUCUGAAUAUGGGGGGACCAUCCUCCAAGGCUAAAUACUCCUGACUGACCGAUAGUGAACCAGUACCGUGAGGGAAAGGCGAAAAGAACCCCGGCGAGGGGAGUGAAAAAGAACCUGAAACCGUGUACGUACAAGCAGUGGGAGCACAGAGCAAUCUGUGUGACUGCGUACCUUUUGUAUAAUGGGUCAGCGACUUAUAUUCUGUAGCAAGGUUAACCGAAUAGGGGAGCCGAAGGGAAACCGAGUCUUAACUGGGCGUUAAGUUGCAGGGUAUAGACCCGAAACCCGGUGAUCUAGCCAUGGGCAGGUUGAAGGUUGGGUAACACUAACUGGAGGACCGAACCGACUAAUGUUGAAAAAUUAGCGGAUGACUUGUGGCUGGGGGUGAAAGGCCAAUCAAACCGGGAGAUAGCUGGUUCUCCCCGAAAGCUAUUUAGGUAGCGCCUCGUGAAUUCAUCUCCGGGGGUAGAGCACUGUUUCGGCAAGGGGGUCAUCCCGACUUACCAACCCGAUGCAAACUGCGAAUACCGGAGAAUGUUAUCACGGGAGACACACGGCGGGUGCUAACGUCCGUCGUGAAGAGGGAAACAACCCAGACCGCCAGCUAAGGUCCCAAAGUCAUGGUUAAGUGGGAAACGAUGUGGGAAGGCCCAGACAGCCAGGAUGUUGGCUUAGAAGCAGCCAUCAUUUAAAGAAAGCGUAAUAGCUCACUGGUCGAGUCGGCCUGCGCGGAAGAUGUAACGGGGCUAAACCAUGCACCGAAGCUGCGGCAGCGACGCUUAUGCGUUGUUGGGUAGGGGAGCGUUCUGUAAGCCUG